AUUGAACGCUGGCGGAAUGCUUUACACAUGCAAGUCGAGCGGCAGCGCGGGGCAACCUGGCGGCGAGCGGCGAACGGGUGAGUAAUGCAUCGGAACGUACCCAGUCGUGGGGGAUAACUGUCCGAAAGGACAGCUAAUACCGCAUACGUCCUGAGGGAGAAAGCGGGGGAUCGCAAGACCUCGCGCGAUUGGAGCGGCCGAUGCCGGAUUAGCUAGUUGGUAAGGGUAAAGGCCUACCAAGGCGACGAUCCGUAGCUGGUCUGAGAGGACGACCAGUCACACUGGAACUGAGACACGGUCCAGACUCCUACGGGAGGCAGCAGU
This 324-nucleotide ribosomal RNA is filed under the name uncultured bacterium. Its description in RNAcentral is "bacterial SSU rRNA". It matches the Rfam family "Bacterial small subunit ribosomal RNA", at positions 29 to 355 of the family's 1533-position model. The record is from RNAcentral.